Callithrix jacchus (white-tufted-ear marmoset) is the source of this 104-nucleotide small nucleolar RNA. NCBI's taxonomy places the organism in Eukaryota, Metazoa, Chordata, Mammalia, Primates, Cebidae. The record is from Ensembl.
AUCCUUUUGCAGUUCACGAGCAUGAUGAUUGGGUGUUCACACGCUUAUGUGAGAUGUGCCACUCUUUAACCUUAUUAGGAAGUCGGCACAUUAUCCAUCUAACC